This 445-nucleotide ribosomal RNA is filed under the name uncultured bacterium. Its description in RNAcentral is "partial 16S ribosomal RNA". It matches the Rfam family "Bacterial small subunit ribosomal RNA", at positions 354 to 796 of the family's 1533-position model. The record is from RNAcentral.
GUGAGGAAUAUUGGUCAAUGGGCGGGAGCCUGAACCAGCCAAGUCGCGUGAAGGAAGAAGGAUCUAUGGUUCGUAAACUUCUUUUGCAGGGGAAUAAAGUGCAGGACGUGUCCUGUUUUGUAUGUACCCUGAGAAUAAGGAUCGGCUAACUCCGUGCCAGCAGCCGCGGUAAUACGGAGGAUCCGAGCGUUAUCCGGAUUUAUUGGUUUUAAAGGGUGCGUAGGUGGUUUGAUAAGUCAGCGGUGAAAGUUUGCAGCUUAACUGUAAAAAUGCCGUUGAAACUGUCGGACUUGAGUGUAAAUGAGGUAGGCGGAAUGCGUGGUGUAGCGGUGAAAUGCAUAGAUAUCACGCAGAACUCCGAUUGCGAAGGCAGCUUACUAAGCUACAACUGACACUGAAGCACGAAAGCGUGGGGAUCAAACAGGAUUAGAAACCCGUGUAGUCC